Molecule: ribosomal RNA, 490 nt
Filed under: uncultured Eubacteriales bacterium
Lineage: Bacteria; Bacillati; Bacillota; Clostridia; Eubacteriales
Description: bacterial SSU rRNA
Rfam family: Bacterial small subunit ribosomal RNA
Source: RNAcentral
AGUCCUGGCUCAGGAUGAACGCUGGCGGCGUGCUUACACAUGCAAGUCGAACGAAGCAGCAUGGAACGAAGUCUUCGGAGGAGGGAAAUGGUGACGUGAGUGGCGGACGGGUGAGUAACGACGUGGGUAACCUGCCUCGUACAGGGGACAACAGUUGGAACGACUGCUAAUACCGCAUAAGCGCACGAUACUGCAUGGUAUUGUGUGAAAACUGAGGUGGUACGAGAUGGACCCGCGUCUGAUUAGCUGGUUGUGGGGUAACGGCCUACCAAGGCGACGAUCAGUAGCCGACCUGAGAGGGUGACCGGCCACAUUGGGACUGAGACACGGCCCAAACUCCUACGGGAGGCAGCAGUGGGGAAUACUGCACAAUGGGGGAAACCCUGAUGCAGCGACGCCGCGUGAAGGAAGAAGUAUUUCGGUAUGUAAACUUCUAUCAGCAGGGAAGAAAAUGACGGUACCUGAGUAAGAAGCCCCGGCUAACUACGUG